GAGCCUACUUCGCAGUCGCAGGACGAGUGCUUUGGAGCCGGUCCCAGGCGGUGUGUGCCGGUCGCCUAGCCAGGAGAACUGGUCCUCGACUCACGGUGAGGGAAUGGACCGACACGGGGGUUGUACCGCUGAGGAAAAGGAGCGGGACUCCGGACCUCCAGGAGGUAGGGAGUGAGGCCAGUAGGACCGGCGCACCUCCGGGGGGAUUCCUUCCGGACGCUGAGUUGCCAACCUGAGACCCGAGGAAGUUCGGCACGAUGGUCUGCUUUUUGUUGUUGUUAACCUGCCUCGGAUUUCUCGAAGUUCACAACACUGUCCAUAUGCGAUGAUGUUUGUUUGCCCUUGACGCACUUAACUCAUGGAUGGUACUUCUUCAGCCUCGUUAGGCAGGCUGAUGAUAGAGGAUGAAGAAACCAUGUGUUUCUCAUUCAGUUCUGGACUCAGUCUCCGUUUUCUUCCUUCAGCAAGUUAUUUUUCUUAGUUCCUUAUCAAAAAUUGUACAUAAAAAUUAGGCAACUCCAAACAUGCCUCCAGGGUUGAUGUGUGAAAUAAUAAUAUAAUAUAUUAAAAUGGAAUUAGGUCCUAGGCAUAGGGCAAGUGCAGAAUAUUGCCGUGUUGUCAUUUACAGUUGUUGAUAUCGAUAAGGUUUGUGGGUGUAAUUGGUAGUGUUCUGUCCCUCCAACCUAAGCAACAAGAGUGAAACUCCCUCUGAGGAAAAAAAAAAAAGCCUUUGCAACCUCCAAAAUUCAAGUAGACAGUCCCAAAUUUCCCCUUUAGGAUAUGUGGACUAAGUGUUGUUUACUUGUUUUAUUUAAGGUAAAGAGGAAAGCAGCCUUAAUUACCUCAUUGUAUGUUUUCUUAACCAAGUCCCACACUUUCAUGGAGCCCACUUGUUUACCAAUCUUUUGUAGUUGCAUACGUGCAAGUGUAUUAUGCUACCAACAACUUUUUUUAUUUGAGAGCAGGGACUAUGUCUACUACUUAAUUUACAUAAAGCAUCACAGGCUAGUGCAAAGCAAGUCACAGAAAUAUUCAAAUGAGGCUGGGCAUGGUGGCUUACGCCUGUAAUCCCAGCACUUUGGGAGGCCAAGGUGGGUGGAUCACGAGGUCACAAGUUCAAGACCAGCCUAGCCAACAUAGUGAAACCCUGUCUACUAAAAUUACAAAAAAUUAGCCAGGUGUGGUGGCGGGCACCUGUAAUCCCAGCUACUCGGGAGGCUGAGGCAGGAGAAUCGCUUGAACCCGGGAGGCGGAGGUUGCAGUGAGUGGAGAUUGCACCACUGCAUUCUAUCCUGGGCAACAAUGCGAGACUGUCUUAAAAAGAAAAAAAAAAAUCCAAAAAAAAUUAGGUGGGCAUGGUGGAGCACCUGUAGUCCCAGCUACUUGGUAGGCUGAGGCAGUAGAGUCGCUUGAACCUAGGAGGGAGAGGUUGCAGUGAGUCAAGAUCACGUCUUUGCAGUCCAGCCUGGGCGACAAGAGCGAAACUCCGUCUCAAAAAAAAAAAA
RNAcentral lists this long non-coding RNA (1505 nucleotides) under Macaca fascicularis (crab-eating macaque). RNAcentral describes it as "lncRNA (ENSMFAG00000061561.1)". Lineage: Eukaryota; Metazoa; Chordata; Mammalia; Primates; Cercopithecidae. The record is from RNAcentral.